GCAGCCGCGGUAAUACGUAGGUGGCAAGCGUUGUCCGGAAUUACUGGGUGUAAAGGGUGCGCAGGCGGGACUGCAAGUUGGAUGUGAAAUACCGAGGCUCAACCUCGGAGCUGCAUCCAAAACUGUAGUUCUUGAGUGAAGUAGAGGUAAGCGGAAUUCCGAGUGUAGCGGUGAAAUGCGUAGAUAUUCGGAGGAACACCAGUGGCGAAGGCGGCUUACUGGGCUUUAACUGACGCUGAGGCACGAAAGCAUGGGGAGCAAACAGGAUUAGAUACCCC
RNAcentral lists this ribosomal RNA (278 nucleotides) under uncultured Eubacterium sp. RNAcentral's name for it is "partial 16S ribosomal RNA". It matches the Rfam family "Bacterial small subunit ribosomal RNA", at positions 511 to 788 of the family's 1533-position model. Lineage: Bacteria; Bacillati; Bacillota; Clostridia; Eubacteriales; Eubacteriaceae. The record is from RNAcentral.